AGCAGCCGCGGUAAUUCCAGCUCCAAUAGCGUAUAUUAAAGUUGUUGCAGUUAAAAAGCUCGUAGUUGAAUUUCGGGGUUAGUACGCUGGUCAUGCCUUCGGUAUGUACUGGUGUUACCGAUUCCUACCUUCUGAAGAACCGUCAUGUCAUUAAUUUGGUGUGGCGGGGAAUCAGGACUGUUACUUUGAAAAAAUUAGAGUGUUUAAAGCAGGCUCGCGCUUGAAUACAUUAGCAUGGAAUAAUGAAAUAGGACGUUCGAUCCUAUUUUGUUGGUUUCUAGGAUUGACGUAAUGAUUAAUAGGGAUAGUUGGGGGCAUUAGUAUUCAAUUGUCAGAGGUGAAAUUCUUGGAUUUAUUGGAGACUAACUACUGCGAAAGCAUUUGCCAAGGAUGUUUUCAUUAAUCAAGAACGAAAGUUAGGGGAUCGAAGACGAUCAGAUACCGUCGUAG
This 450-nucleotide ribosomal RNA is filed under the name uncultured Glomeromycotina. RNAcentral describes it as "SSU rRNA". It matches the Rfam family "Eukaryotic small subunit ribosomal RNA", at positions 569 to 1023 of the family's 1831-position model. Lineage: Eukaryota; Fungi; Glomeromycota. The record is from RNAcentral.